AAAGUGGUCAGCUAUUAAGCUAAUGAGUUCAUACCUCAUAUAUGUGUAUAGUGCCUGAUUAA
Molecule: transfer RNA, 62 nt
Filed under: Parachtes romandiolae
Lineage: Eukaryota; Metazoa; Arthropoda; Arachnida; Araneae; Dysderidae
Description: partial tRNA-Met
Source: RNAcentral